This 677-nucleotide ribosomal RNA is filed under the name Bifidobacterium pseudolongum. Its description in RNAcentral is "bacterial SSU rRNA". It matches the Rfam family "Bacterial small subunit ribosomal RNA", at positions 73 to 749 of the family's 1533-position model. The record is from RNAcentral. Lineage: Bacteria; Bacillati; Actinomycetota; Actinomycetes; Bifidobacteriales; Bifidobacteriaceae.
UGGCAGCUUGCUGCCGGGGUGAGAGUGGCGAACGGGUGAGUAAUGCGUGACCGACCUGCCCCAUGCACCGGAAUAGCUCCUGGAAACGGGUGGUAAUGCCGGAUGUUCCACAUGAGCGCAUGCGAGUGUGGGAAAGGCUUUUUGCGGCAUGGGAUGGGGUCGCGUCCUAUCAGCUUGUUGGUGGGGUAACGGCCUACCAAGGCGUUGACGGGUAGCCGGCCUGAGAGGGCGACCGGCCACAUUGGGACUGAGAUACGGCCCAGACUCCUACGGGAGGCAGCAGUGGGGAAUAUUGCACAAUGGGCGCAAGCCUGAUGCAGCGACGCCGCGUGCGGGAUGGAGGCCUUCGGGUUGUAAACCGCUUUUGUUCAAGGGCAAGGCACGGUUUCGGCCGUGUUGAGUGGAUUGUUCGAAUAAGCACCGGCUAACUACGUGCCAGCAGCCGCGGUAAUACGUAGGGUGCAAGCGUUAUCCGGAUUUAUUGGGCGUAAAGGGCUCGUAGGCGGUUCGUCGCGUCCGGUGUGAAAGUCCAUCGCUUAACGGUGGAUCCGCGCCGGGUACGGGCGGGCUUGAGUGCGGUAGGGGAGACUGGAAUUCCCGGUGUAACGGUGGAAUGUGUAGAUAUCGGGAAGAACACCAAUGGCGAAGGCAGGUCUCUGGGCCGUUACUGACGCUGA